AUCAUCUGACGAACCUCAAAUAGGACGAAACGUGCGUCAUUGAU
This 44-nucleotide non-coding RNA is filed under the name Schistosoma margrebowiei. The record is from RNAcentral. Lineage: Eukaryota; Metazoa; Platyhelminthes; Trematoda; Strigeidida; Schistosomatidae.